RNAcentral lists this non-coding RNA (94 nucleotides) under unclassified sequences. Its description in RNAcentral is "preQ1-III sequence". It matches the Rfam family "PreQ1-III (pre queuosine) riboswitch aptamer". The record is from RNAcentral.
GAGCAACUUAGGAUUUUAGGCUCGCCGCGCUCCCUGCGCGGACCCACCCUUCCGGACCUGGCAGUACCGGCAGGGUAAAAUCUCACUGCCGGAG